This is a long non-coding RNA of Ornithorhynchus anatinus (platypus), 521 nucleotides long. RefSeq lists it as uncharacterized. The record is from RefSeq and is a predicted model, not a curated record. The transcript is spliced from 2 exons. NCBI's taxonomy places the organism in Eukaryota, Metazoa, Chordata, Mammalia, Monotremata, Ornithorhynchidae.
CCAUCACAAGGCUUCUCUUCCAGCAGUUUUUUGCUCCUACUGCUCAAGACUCAAUUAACCAGGGAGGAUUUUUCAGUAAUUCAGUAGGAUAAUCUGCUCACUCAAACAUGGAGCGUGGAAAACUGAACUACAAGGAACAGAGAGGGAACAGACCUCUGGCUUCAUAUUUUGGUCCAGCUAUCCUCCAGCCUUGACAACUGAGUCCAGGGAAGGAAUGGGAAGCAGAGGAGUUUCCUUAGCCCCAUCGGAAUUUGGGCACCUCCAUCCCACAGUUCUGUAAUGUUCCUUCAGGGCCUCUUCCCUCUUUUGGAAGCUCUCAUGUUCCCCCAUCUCUGACCUCUUCUGCCACCAUCCUGCUGUUGCAGUGAGUUUACAGAGCUUUGUAAUUUCCAGUGACAGUUUCUGUUCUAGUUCCUGUCAUUAACUGUUACGGGACAGAGUACCAGAGGAGUGGAGAUUGGACAGUUAAUUAAACCUGCCUAUUUCUCUCAAAAAUAAACACCUCUGCUUCUUCCUUUUCA